ACAUUGGGAGUUUAAUGGUAGAAUUCUUGCCUUCUAUGCAGGAGACCUGGGUUCGAUUCCCAGUCAGUGUA
Orycteropus afer afer is the source of this 71-nucleotide non-coding RNA. The record is from the annotation of a RefSeq genome assembly. Lineage: Eukaryota; Metazoa; Chordata; Mammalia; Tubulidentata; Orycteropodidae.